AGUAGGGAGUUUGGAGAGCUUCCAGGUUGGCAAACACAUCCACAUGCUGGGAGGGUGAAGUCCCCCAACUCCACGGGGACAGAAGCUCCUGCACUCAGGAUCCCCCCAGACCUCAUCCUCUGUAUCUCUUAAUCUUGCUCUUCAUCUGUAUCCUUUUAAUAAACUGGUAAACAUAACAAGUUCAACUUCUGAUACUGAUUUACCCAAGCUGUGCAAAUUCUUAGAAGACACUAUUUUAGUUCAGUUUAGUCCUAUGCCAUCCAAACAGAAAUCAAAGGGUAAUUGUCUUCUUGAUAUUCUUUUGGGGAUAAAAACAACAAAAGAGCAACUAAUUAUUCAUUCAGAAAUCUGCUAUUGAACACUGUUUUUCUGCCAGGCCUCUACCAAGCU
Molecule: long non-coding RNA, 390 nt
Filed under: Equus caballus (horse)
Lineage: Eukaryota; Metazoa; Chordata; Mammalia; Perissodactyla; Equidae
Description: lncRNA (ENSECAG00000058620.1)
Source: RNAcentral